GAUUAAGUUAUUAAGGGCGCACGGUGGAUGCCUUGGCACUAGAAGCCGAUGAAGGACGUUACUAACGACGAUAUGCUUUGGGGAGCUGUAAGUAAGCUUUGAUCCAGAGAUUUCCGAAUGGGGAAACCCAGCAUGAGUUAUGUCAUGUUAUCGAUAUGUGAAUACAUAGCAUAUCAGAAGGCACACCCGGAGAACUGAAACAUCUUAGUACCCGGAGGAAGAGAAAGAAAAUUCGAUUCCCUUAGUAGCGGCGAGCGAAAUGGGAAGAGCCCAAACCAACAAGCUUGCUUGUUGGGGUUGUAGGACACUCUAUACGGAGUUACAAAGGACGACAUUAGACGAAUCAUCUGGAAAGAUGAAUCAAAGAAGGUAAUAAUCCUGUAGUCGAAAAUGUUGUCUCUCUUGAGUGGAUCCUGAGUACGACGGAGCACGUGAAAUUCCGUCGGAAUCUGGGAGGACCAUCUCCUAAGGCUAAAUACUCUCUAGUGACCGAUAGUGAACCAGUACCGUGAGGGAAAGGUGAAAAGCACCCCGGAAGGGGAGUGAAAUAGAACCUGAAACCGUGUGCUUACAAGUAGUCAGAGCCCGUUAAUGGGUGAUGGCGUGCCUUUUGUAGAAUGAACCGGCGAGUUACGAUUUGAUGCAAGGUUAAGCAGUAAAUGUGGAGCCGUAGCGAAAGCGAGUCUGAAUAGGGCGUUUAGUAUUUGGUCGUAGACCCGAAACCAGGUGAUCUACCCUUGGUCAGGUUGAAGUUCAGGUAACACUGAAUGGAGGACCGAACCGACUUACGUUGAAAAGUGAGCGGAUGAACUGAGGGUAGCGGAGAAAUUCCAAUCGAACCUGGAGAUAGCUGGUUCUCUCCGAAAUAGCUUUAGGGCUAGCCUCAAGUGAUGAUUAUUGGAGGUAGAGCACUGUUUGGACGAGGGGCCCCUCUCGGGUUACCGAAUUCAGACAAACUCCGAAUGCCAAUUA
Molecule: ribosomal RNA, 972 nt
Filed under: Staphylococcus aureus
Lineage: Bacteria; Bacillati; Bacillota; Bacilli; Caryophanales; Staphylococcaceae
Description: partial 23S ribosomal RNA
Rfam family: Bacterial large subunit ribosomal RNA
Source: RNAcentral